RNAcentral lists this ribosomal RNA (681 nucleotides) under Salmonella enterica subsp. enterica serovar Infantis. RNAcentral's name for it is "partial 23S ribosomal RNA". It matches the Rfam family "Bacterial large subunit ribosomal RNA", at positions 2144 to 2824 of the family's 2925-position model. RNAcentral also lists the same sequence under 1 other name. Lineage: Bacteria; Pseudomonadati; Pseudomonadota; Gammaproteobacteria; Enterobacterales; Enterobacteriaceae. The record is from RNAcentral.
UAGGUGGGAGGCUUUGAAGCGUGGACGCCAGUCUGCGUGGAGCCGACCUUGAAAUACCACCCUUUAAUGUUUGAUGUUCUAACGUGGAUCCGUAAUCCGGGUUGCGGACAGUGUCUGGUGGGUAGUUUGACUGGGGCGGUCUCCUCCUAAAGAGUAACGGAGGAGCACGAAGGUUGGCUAAUCCUGGUCGGACAUCAGGAGGUUAGUGCAAUGGCAUAAGCCAGCUUGACUGCGAGCGUGACGGCGCGAGCAGGUGCGAAAGCAGGUCAUAGUGAUCCGGUGGUUCUGAAUGGAAGGGCCAUCGCUCAACGGAUAAAAGGUACUCCGGGGAUAACAGGCUGAUACCGCCCAAGAGUUCAUAUCGACGGCGGUGUUUGGCACCUCGAUGUCGGCUCAUCACAUCCUGGGGCUGAAGUAGGUCCCAAGGGUAUGGCUGUUCGCCAUUUAAAGUGGUACGCGAGCUGGGUUUAGAACGUCGUGAGACAGUUCGGUCCCUAUCUGCCGUGGGCGCUGGAGAACUGAGGGGGGCUGCUCCUAGUACGAGAGGACCGGAGUGGACGCAUCACUGGUGUUCGGGUUGUCAUGCCAAUGGCACUGCCCGGUAGCUAAAUGCGGAAGAGAUAAGUGCUGAAAGCAUCUAAGCACGAAACUUGCCCCGAGAUGAGUUCUCCCUGAGACUUA